Molecule: unclassified non-coding RNA, 1898 nt
Filed under: Hevea brasiliensis (rubber tree)
Lineage: Eukaryota; Viridiplantae; Streptophyta; Magnoliopsida; Malpighiales; Euphorbiaceae
Source: RNAcentral
AACAAAAGAAAUUAUCCGCAUUACCAGUAAAUCCGCGCAUAUUGUAAAUACAAGCAUGAUAUAAUCAUGGAGGAGAUAAAGGAAGGAAUUACCCUUAUGAAAUUCUUAAGUGCAUAACUUUUUUUAUUUGCUCAUUGAGAGGCUUCCACAUCCUUGGAUCCCUCAUCUGCAGGCCCAUUGUUUGGUGUAUUAUCUGAGGUGUCAAUGCAAACUGUGCUUUUACAUUGACUGACAGGCUGGGGAUCAGCCAGUGGGUAGGGAUCUUUAGAUCCUUGGUGAAAAAAGAUCUGUUUGCUGUUUAGAGCCUCGGGCAAGCAACCCAUUGACAGUUUUGCCAUGCCUAAUUUCUGUUCAUUUGGGAGCUUAGUAGAAGCAGGUGAUUCAGGAGUAUCAGGAUGCUUUCCUGACAACUCCAAAGGUCUAUGAAACAGUAAAUGAGCUACAGCACGGUCUAUGGGAUUGGUCUCAGUUUCCACUUCAGACAUAGCAUUCCUGUUAUGACCUCUGGUUUCCUCUUUUGUGACAACUUUCUCAUCCCUGCUACUAUUGUUGGUACUGCCAGUAUCACUAGCAUAAUGCCUUUGCAUUGCACUUUGAGCCAACCGGAACAAGCUAUCCCGUAAACAAAGUCUGAUUCUAGCAUCCAACUUUGAAAUAAUAUCUUGAAGCCGGUAGAGCACUGUGUCCUCUGCUGAAUAAUCAUUAACUGCCAGAGAGAUUGUAUUGGAAUCAUCAUGUUCAACUGGUGAGUUUGGUUCAAAAGCAGGAAGAGAUCUUAGAUCCUCCAUUUCUAGAUCUGCUCCCUCAACAUGCUGAAUUUGAUUUUCUUGGGAACAUUUUUGAGUGAUGGACUGAUCACUACAGGAAACUUGAUGACCAAACUGCUGCUGCUGUUUCUGAAUAGCAAGCAUUGCCUGCAUUUGCUGCCGUUUCCUUAAUUUUUCAAUUUUUUCCUGAGGAGUCAUAGUCUGAGGUUUUACCAGUAAGUCAGCUAACUUGUUUACAGGAUUUGCAUUACCUGAAGAAACUUCAUAACCAGAAAGCAUGGAUUGCUGCUUAAAUUCCCCAGACUGAAUGUGAGACAGCACAGGCAUGGCAGAAUAUGGAUUUGUAACAGUCCCAUAGGCAGAAGGGGCCACUAAUGGAUUUGAAAUCUGUUGGUACUGCAAUGAUUCAGGUCCUUGUAGUGGCCUCGGUUGACUAAGAACUGAAGGAGAGGAAGGUACCAUGGUGGGUGCAAAUUGGCUCUUGAAUUGACCAGAUAGGCUCUGAGCUGAAGACCAGUUACCAUACAAAUCUUGGUACAAAGUUAAUUCACUUUGUUCUUCAAACCUUUUCUGACGUUUCAAGGGUUUCUUUUGCUUAUAAACCUUAUCUGCCAAUUCAUUUGGUGCAGCAACAUUUUCCACAGUACGCUGAGAGUUUACUGCAGUGUUCUUUCCCAUUAUGGUCAAAUCAUUCUGCUCCUUCACCGUGGGCUUACUUUUACCUCCAGCAUAUUUUACAUGAUCCAGGACAGCACAUGCAUUCUGCAGACCAUGAGAUGCAGGAUCAUUCAGUUUCCCAUAGUCAAGUGUAUAUGUGUGGUCAUCAUCUUGUACACACUCAGAUUUAAUCUCCGAAUUCUCAGAUGUAUUCUUUAAAGGCCCUAACCCCAAAGAUGGAGAGCCCGCAUAAAUGGGAAAGGACUUUCCUGGACUGUUAGUUGCAUCUUUAGAAGAAGACCAGAGCUCAUCAGCAUUACUGAGACUUACGGUGCCAAAUAUAGGAUCAUCAUUGCUAAAAAUUCGAUCAAGGUCAUCAAAGCUUCCAAUGUUAGCCCAGCCAUAAUCAACGAAAUCACCUUGUUCUUUAACUUUUUGAAAAAUUUCAGUCUCCUUAUCAAGUUGAACUGUCUC